GGUGGGUGUUUGCUCUCUGGCUCAGCGACCAGCAGGAAAGAUGGUGUCUCACUGGUAGCUCCCUGGGAGAGAAGGUGCAGAGAUUUCUGAAGGGGGCGCAGGGGUCCUCCUGGAUGGGCUUCCUCGGUGACUUGGUGGUAAAGAAUCCGCCUGCCAGUGCAGGAGACCCACGAAACUUGGGUUCAGUGCCUUGGCCAGAAAGAUUCCCCGGAGAAGGGAAUGGGAGGACGGCGACUGUUAGCCUGUGAACGAAGGCGAGAGUGAGCAGCCUCAUGCUCCUGACCAAGGUAAGAAGCUGUUCCUUGAGGCCUCGGGGGGUGGGCACUGCCCUGCAGAUGCCGGACUUGCCGGCACCACGGGUGCGGCCGCCCUGCUGCGCCCGUGCCGUUGGGGCAGAGAGGAAGUGGCUAUUUCUACGCUCAGUGCUCAGAACCGUGGGCACUAAGAAUGGUUUGUAGCCGGACAUCUCCGAGCACUGCCCGAGGGAGCCCCUUGUUCCCACGUGCGCAGAAGAGAAGGCCGGGGAGGACUUUUUAGGAGUCCUUGGGCACCUGUGACGUGCCUCCCUGCCUGAGGGCUGCUGAGCUGGUGUCCUGUGCCACCCAGCCUACGAGUCCUUGUGCCCUGGGCGCCCGAUGUAAGGAGUCCCUUGAGGGAAGGCCAGGGGGUGCGGCCGGCAGCACUGCUGCAGGGGGGCAGGGUCU
This is a long non-coding RNA of Ovis aries (sheep), 704 nucleotides long. The record is from Ensembl. NCBI's taxonomy places the organism in Eukaryota, Metazoa, Chordata, Mammalia, Artiodactyla, Bovidae.